Molecule: ribosomal RNA, 444 nt
Filed under: uncultured bacterium
Lineage: Bacteria
Description: SSU rRNA
Rfam family: Bacterial small subunit ribosomal RNA
Source: RNAcentral
AGAACGAACGCUGGCGGCAGGCCUAACACAUGCAAGUCGAACGCCCUCUUCGGAGGGAGUGGCAGACGGGUGAGUAACGCGUGGGAACGUACCCUUUGGUUCGGAACAACUCCGGGAAACUGGAGCUAAUACCGGAUGAGCCCUACGGGGGAAAGAUUUAUCGCCGAAGGAUCGGCCCGCGUCGGAUUAGCUUGUUGGUGGGUAAUGGCCCACCAAGGCGACGAUCCGUAGCUGGUCUGAGAGGAUGAUCAGCCACACUGGGACUGAGACACGGCCCAGACUCCUACGGGAGGCAGCAGUGGGGAAUAUUGGACAAUGGCGCAAGCCUGAUCCAGCCAUGCCGCGUGAGUGAUGAAGGCCCUAGGGUUGUAAAGCUCUUUCGCCAGGGACGAUAAUGACGGUACCUGGAUAAGAAGCCCCGGCUAACUUCGUGCCAGCAGCCGC